RNAcentral lists this ribosomal RNA (253 nucleotides) under uncultured bacterium. Its description in RNAcentral is "partial 16S ribosomal RNA". It matches the Rfam family "Bacterial small subunit ribosomal RNA", at positions 524 to 776 of the family's 1533-position model. The record is from RNAcentral.
UACGUAGGGGGCGAGCGUUGUCCGGAAUGACUGGGCGUAAAGGGCGUGUAGGCGGUCAUUUAAGUCUGGAGUGAAAGUCCUGCAUUCAAUGUGGGAAUUGCUUUGGAUACUGGAUGACUUGAGUGCGGAAGAGGUAAGUGGAAUUCCCAGUGUAGCGGUGAAAUGCGUAGAGAUUGGGAGGAACACCAGUGGCGAAGGCGACUUACUGGGCCGUAACUGACGCUGAGGCGCGAAAGCGUGGGGAGCGAACAGG